UGGGAUGUCAGUGAUUGUACUUUAUAGCC
This 29-nucleotide non-coding RNA is filed under the name Rattus norvegicus (Norway rat). Lineage: Eukaryota; Metazoa; Chordata; Mammalia; Rodentia; Muridae. The record is from RNAcentral.